UACGUAGGGGGCGAGCGUUGUCCGGAUUUAUUGGGCGUAAAGAGCGUGUAGGCGGCCAGGUAGGUCUGCUGUGAAAACUCGAGGCUCAACCUCGAGACGUCGGCGGAAACCAUCUGGCUAGAGUCCGGAAGAGGCGAGUGGAAUUCCUGGUGUAGCGGUGAAAUGCGCAGAUAUCAGGAGGAACACCAAUUGCGAAGGCAGCUCGCUGGGACGUGACUGACGCUGAGACGCGAAAGCGUGGGGAGCAAACAGG
Molecule: ribosomal RNA, 253 nt
Filed under: uncultured bacterium
Lineage: Bacteria
Description: partial 16S ribosomal RNA
Rfam family: Bacterial small subunit ribosomal RNA
Source: RNAcentral